This 522-nucleotide ribosomal RNA is filed under the name uncultured bacterium. RNAcentral describes it as "bacterial SSU rRNA". It matches the Rfam family "Bacterial small subunit ribosomal RNA", at positions 777 to 1297 of the family's 1533-position model. The record is from RNAcentral.
AAUAGAUACCCCGGUAGUCCACGCCGUAAACGUUGGGCGCUAGAUGUGGGGGCCAUUCCACGGUUUCCGCGUCGUAGCUAACGCAUUAAGCGCCCCGCCUGGGGAGUACGGCCGCAAGGCUAAAACUCAAAGGAAUUGACGGGGGCCCGCACAAGCGGCGGAGCAUGCGGAUUAAUUCGAUGCAACGCGAAGAACCUUACCAAGGCUUGACAUAUACGAGAACACUGCAGAAAUGUAGGACUCUUUGGACACUCGUAUACAGGCGGUGCAUGGUUGUCGUCAGCUCGUGUCGUGAGAUGUUGGGUUAAGUCCCGCAACGAGCGCAACCCUCGUCGCAUGUUGCCAGCACGUAAAGGUGGGAACUCAUGUGAGACUGCCGGGGUCAACUCGGAGGAAGGUGGGGAUGACGUCAAAUCAUCAUGCCCCUUAUGUCUUGGGCUUCACGCAUGCUACAAUGGCCGGUACAAAGGGCUGCAAUACCGUAAGGUGGAGCGAAUCCCAAAAAGCCGGUCUCAGUUCGGA